AUGAACGCUAGCGGCAGGCUUAAUACAGUGCAAGUCGAACGGUAACAUGAGUAGCAAUACUUGAUGACGAGUGGCGCACGGUGCGUAACGCGUAUGCAACUUACCUUCAACUGGAAGAUAGCCCCUCGAAAGAGGGAUUAAUAUUCCAUAAUUUUAUGAUUUGGCAAUCAAAAUUUAUAAUUAAAGAUCAGUCGGUUGAAGAUAGGCAUGCGUGACAUUAGCUAGUUGGUGAGGUAAUGGCUCACCAAGGCAACGAUGUCUAGGGGAUCUGAGAGGACUAACCCCCACACUGGUACUGAGACACGGACCAGACUCCUACGGGAGGCAGCAGUGGGAAUUUUGGACAAUGGGGGAAACCCUGAUCCAGCAAUGCCGCGUGAGUGAAGAAGGCCUUCGGGUUGUAAAGCUCUUUUGUCAGGGGAGAAACACCGGCUCUAACACAGUCCGGGAAUGACGGUACCUGAAGAAUAAGCACCGGCUAACUACGUG
This 489-nucleotide ribosomal RNA is filed under the name uncultured bacterium. RNAcentral describes it as "bacterial SSU rRNA". It matches the Rfam family "Bacterial small subunit ribosomal RNA", at positions 29 to 507 of the family's 1533-position model. The record is from RNAcentral.